GACUACUGGAGGCAGCAGUGGGGAAUAUUGGACAAUGGGCGAAAGCCUGAUCCAGCCAUGCCGCGUGUGUGAAGAAGGCCUUCGGGUUGUAAAGCACUUUCAGUGGGGAAGAAAGCCUUGGGGCUAAUACCCUCGAGGAAGGACAUCACCCACAGAAGAAGCACCGGCUAACUCCGUGCCAGCAGCCGCGGUAAUACGGAGGGUGCGAGCGUUAAUCGGAAUUACUGGGCGUAAAGCGCGCGUAGGCGGUCUGAUAAGCCGGUUGUGAAAGCCCCGGGCUCAACCUGGGAACGGCAUCCGGAACUGUCAGGCUAGAGUGCAGGAGAGGAAGGUAGAAUUCCCGGUGUAGCGGUGAAAUGCGUAGAGAUCGGGAGGAAUACCAGUGGCGAAGGCGGCCUUCUGGACUGACACUGACGCUGAGGUGCGAAAGCGUGGGUAGCAAACAGGAUUAGAUACCCGUGUAGUC
This 466-nucleotide ribosomal RNA is filed under the name Vreelandella stevensii. Its description in RNAcentral is "partial 16S ribosomal RNA". It matches the Rfam family "Bacterial small subunit ribosomal RNA", at positions 334 to 795 of the family's 1533-position model. The record is from RNAcentral. Lineage: Bacteria; Pseudomonadati; Pseudomonadota; Gammaproteobacteria; Oceanospirillales; Halomonadaceae.